UGAGAGAUUGGGGAGUGCUCGAAAGGGAACCAUUACACAGGUGCUGCAUGGCUGUCGUCAGCUCGNNUNGUGAGAUGUUGGGUUAAGUCCCGCAACGAGCGCAACCCUUGUCAUUAGUUGCUACGAAAGGGCACUCUAAUGAGACUGCCGGUGACAAACCGGAGGAAGGUGGGGAUGACGUCAAGUCCUCAUGGCCCUUAUGGGUAGGGCUUCACACGUCAUACAAUGGUACAUACAGAGGGCCGCCAACCCGCGAGGGGGAGCUAAUCCCAGAAAGUGUAUCGUAGUCCGGAUUGUAGUCUGCAACUCGACUGCAUGAAGUUGGAAUCGCUAGUAAUCGCGGAUCAGCAUGUCGCGGUGAAUACGUUCCCGGGUCUUGUACACACCGCCCGUCACACCAUGGGAGCGGG
Molecule: ribosomal RNA, 410 nt
Filed under: Duganella sp.
Lineage: Bacteria; Pseudomonadati; Pseudomonadota; Betaproteobacteria; Burkholderiales; Oxalobacteraceae
Description: bacterial SSU rRNA
Rfam family: Bacterial small subunit ribosomal RNA
Source: RNAcentral